RNAcentral lists this long non-coding RNA (7966 nucleotides) under Lactuca sativa (garden lettuce). Its description in RNAcentral is "long non-coding RNA (LSAT_LNC009240)". Lineage: Eukaryota; Viridiplantae; Streptophyta; Magnoliopsida; Asterales; Asteraceae. The record is from RNAcentral.
CCAUACAUGUUUGAUUAGAUAUUUAUGCUUAUGAGAACUGCAUGCUAGAUUAGGAUUAAGGAUCUAGGAGGAUACCUUAUGUGCCUAUUAUGUGUAUGAGCCUUAUGAGUUGUGUAACAACUCAAAUUUUCAAACAAAAUUUUUCAUUUUUAAAAUAUAAAUAUUUCCAUUAAAAACCAAGGCAUAAGCAGUUUAAUUAUUCAGUCAAUACAAUUAUUCAAACUCCCAAGAUCAUGAAACAUUCUUCAGUGUGUAUCGAUCAUGCCGGCGCCUUCCCACGGUCCUCGCUAGUACCUGAAACACAUACAUACAUAACAACUGUAAGCAUAAAUGCUUAGUGAGUUCCCCAAUAUACAACUUACGCACAUACGCCUUUCCAGGCCCGACCUUCCGGUCCAUGUGUCUCAGGGGACUUCCGUCCCUGCUGGGUAAACCUUCCGGCCUUACCCACGCCGACCUUCCGGUCCAUCACACAUCCUCCGGUCCAUGUGUCUCAGGGGACUUCCGUCCCUGCUGGGUAAACCUUCCGGCCUUACCCACGCCGACCUUCCGGUCCAUCACACAUCAUAUCGCCUUCCGGCCCAUAAUACAUAGCACAUAUAACAUAUAACAUACCACAUAUAGCAUACAUAUCACAUAUCAUAUCCGACCUUCCGGUCACACAGUCAAACCCUUCCGGGUACAGUAUAGUGAGAAGACUCACCUCGUAAGUGCUGAAAGCUAGCAACUCCUGAAAUCACUCGCGCACAAACCAACGAGCUACAACCCUCCUAUAACAUUACAUAACUCAUUAACACUCAUAUCAGCUAAGUGUGACUAUCCCUAAGAAGUCAGACUUAGGUCAACUCUGGUCAACGGUCAACGGUCAACUCGACUGGACUCGGCGAGUACCAUGGCGACUCGGCGAGUCUAGUCGUCCUCACAGAUUCCUGAAUAUUCCCUUUCUACUCGUCGAGUAUACCUCUCGACUCGACGAGGUCCUCGUGGAAGAAUCGCGGGGCUACCCCGACUCCACUCGCCGAGUCUGAUGAACAACUCGGCGAGUCCCAGCACAUCUUCAAGCUACUCGCCGAGUCUGAAGAACAACUCGGCGAGUCCAUGCCAUGCAGACGAGUAACUGCUUCCUGAGAUAGGUCUCGUCCCGAAGUACACAUGCAUGGGACCUUCUGGACCUCUAAAGGUCCUAAUACAAGACUAUAAUCGUGGGGUAACAAGGCAUUUCUUCAUCAAAUCACUAAAUGGGUUCUAUAAACCCUAAUUUCAUAAAUACAUCAAAAUAACAGAUUUGGUCCGAGUAUUACCUGAAAACGCACUCUCUGUGUCCCCCAAAUCUCAGGACUCAAUCCUCCUUGAUAUUCCUUUAGCCAAAUCCCUCUUCUUCUUGCCUAACCAAUUCUUCCAAGUUCCAAAGCUUUCUCCCUUGCUCUAGGCGUCCACAGCGAUUAGGGUUCCUCUCAAUUGACCAAAAGACUGAAAAUGACGGCCUAAGAGGCGUUAAAUACGAUCCAAACUGAACGGUUAGGGUUUCUGCUGAACAGCGUCGACUCGCCGAGUCCAUAUCUGGACUCGUCGAGUCCAGUCGCGGACCCGCGACCAAGUCCGCGAUCCUACUCGGCGAGUCUAGGCUCCAACUCGCCGAGUCCCCUCUUAAAUCACCCCAAAAACAUAAUUUUAAUAAUACCUGAGAUUCCGGGCUGUUACAAUUCUCCCCCACUUGGAUUAGACUUCGCCCUCGAAGUCUCAUUCUGCAAAUAGUUCCGGAUGCUGCUCCCGCAUUUCGCGCUCCGGUUCCCAAGUCAUUUCUGAUCCCUUACGGUGUUGCCAUUGAACCAACACCAGAGGUACUUCCUUGUUCCUCAGAACCUUGAUCUUCCGAUCCCUGAUAGCCACUGGUCUCUCCGCGUAAUUCAGGCUCGCAUCCACCUGAAUAUCCUCCAAUGGAACCACUGCCGACUCAUCGGCUAUGCACUUCCUCAACUGCGACACAUGAAAAGUGUCAUGGAUCUGACCCAACUCCGCUGGCAACUCCAACCGGUAGGCUACCCGACCUAUCCUUGCAAUCACACGAAAUGGCCCAAUAUACCGGGGCCCCAACUUGCCUCUCUUCCUGAACCGAAUCACUCCUUUCCAAGGAGAGACCUUCAGGAGAACGAAGUCGCCGACUUGAAAUUCAAGCUCGGAUCGGCGCCUGUCUGCAUAACUCUUCUGUCGGCUCUGGGCAGUCAAUAAUCUUUGUCUCACUUGUUGAAUCUGCUCUGUCGUCUGGAGUAUGAUCUCCGUGCUGCCCAUCACUCUCUGUCCCACCUCUCCCCAGCAAAUGGGAGUCCGACACCUCCUACCAUACAACAGCUCGAAAGGCGGCAUACCAAUGCUCGAAUGAUGGCUGUUGUUGUAGGAAAACUCUGCCAAUGGUAAAUACGCAUCCCAACUACCCCCGAAGUCUAACACACACGCUCGGAGCAUGUCCUCCAGUGUCUGAAUUGUCCGCUCGCUCUGACCGUCUGUCUGGGGAUGGUAUGCGGUACUAAAAUGCAAUUUAGUACCCAGCUCCUCAUGGAAUUUCUUCCAGAAUCUGGAAGUAAAGCGCACAUCACGGUCUGACACAAUCGAGAUCGGCACCCCGUGCCGAGAUACCACCUCUCUCACGUAUAUCUCCGCCAAUUUCUCCGCCGAAGAACUCUCACUGAUGGCAAGGAAGUGUGCACUCUUUGUCAACCUAUCCACGAUCACCCAAAUUGCGUCUACUCCCCUAGCAGUCCUCGGCAAUUUGGUGAUAAAAUCCAUAGUAAUCUGUUCCCACUUCCACUCGGGGAUCUCCAAUGGCUGUAACUUGCCAUGCGGUCUCUGGUGCUCAGCCUUAACCCUACGGCAGGUCAAGCACCUCUCAACGAACCAUGCCACGUCCCUCUUCAUACAGGGCCACCAAUAUUCCUUCCUUAAAUCCAAAUACAUCUUUGUAGCACCGGGAUGGAUCGAGAAUUUCGAUUUAUGAGCCUCUUCCAUCAACGUAAUACGCGUACCGCCCACGAACGGCACCCAAAUCCGACCCUGAAACGUCAUAAGGCCUCGACUAUCCUUGACAAACUCUGAGAUUAACCCCACAACCCGCUCUUUCUUCUGCAUUUCUGGUCGCACAGCCUCAGCCUGGGCCCCACGAAUAGCGUCCAAUACUGGAGUCAUCACAGUCAGUCUCAAGCAUACGUCUCGCAAUGGAGUGCUCUCCGCCCUGCGGCUCAAUGCAUCGGCUACCACAUUAGCCUUGCCUGGGUGGUACAGGAUCUCACAAUCAUAAUCCUUGACCACAUCCAACCACCUCCUCUGACGCAUAUUUAGGUUGGGUUGAUCCAUCAAAUACUUCAAACUCUUAUGGUCCGUGUAUAUCGUACAUCGAACCCCAUACAAGUAGUGACGCCAAAUCUUGAGAGCGAACACUACUGCCCCCAACUCUAAAUCAUGCGUGGGAUAUCUCGCCUCAUGAGGCUUCAGCUGCCUCGACGCAUAAGCUAUCACAUGACCCCUCUGCAUUAACACUGCACCCAAUCCCGAAAUCGAUGCGUCGCAAUAUACCACGAAAUCUUCCAUCCCUUCUGGGAGAGCUAAUACCGGGGCUUCGCACAAUCUCUGGCGAAGUGUCUCAAAGGAGGUCUGCUGCUCGGGCCCCCAUGAGAAUGUAACACCCUUCCGGGUCAAUCUGGUGAGUGGCACUGCGAUCUUGGAGAAAUCCUUGAUAAAUCUCCGAUAAUACCCUGCCAACCCAAGGAAACUUCUGAUCUCAGAGGGUGACUUCGGCACCUCCCAACUCAUCACCGCCUCAACCUUGGCCGGAUCGACCAAUAUCCCUUUCUGAUUAACCACAUGUCCUAGAAACUGGACUUCCCGCAACCAGAAGUCACAUUUGGAGAACUUUGCAUAAAGUUUCUCCGACCUCAAUACCUCAAGGACCUCCCUCAAAUGCUCCUCAUGCUGCUCUCUCGAUCUCGAAUACACCAGAAUGUCGUCGAUAAAUACGAUCACCGACCGAUCCAACAUCGGCCUGCAUACCCUGUUCAUGAGAUCCAUGAACACAGCCGGGGCAUUGGUGAGUCCAAAAGGCAUCACCACAAACUCAUAAUGCCCAUAUCGCGUCCUAAACGCUGUCUUCUGGACGUCUUCAUCCCGUACUCUCACCUGAUGGUAUCCUGACCUCAGAUCGAUCUUGGAAAACCAAGAUGCUCCCUGCAACUGAUCGAAUAAAUCAUCGAUCCUCGGCAACGGGUAACGGUUCUUGACCGUUAGCUUGUUCAACUCCCGGUAAUCAAUGCACAUCCGGUGUGAACCAUCCUUCUUUUUGACGAACAGAAUAGGUGCUCCCCAUGGCGAGCUGCUCGGCCGAAUGAAUCCCUUUCCCAGCAACUCCUGGAGUUGCGAGGACAACUCUUGCAUCUCUGGAGGUGCAAGACGAUAGGGCACUUUGGCAAUAGGCGCUGCCCCCGGAACCAGAUCGAUACUAAACUCUACUUGCCUCACAGGCGGUACUCCCGGCAACUCCUCGGGAAAGACAUCUGAAAACUCGCGCACCACCGGAACUUCCUCAACUGACUUCGGUUUCUCAGAAACCUCCCGCGUAUCCAUCACAUACGCCACGAAACCCUUACAGCCCUGACGUAGACACUGCCUCGCCCUAGCGGCCGAACAAAAAGCUGAUCCCGAACGGGUACCCUCGCCGUAUACCGAAAGAACUCCCCCACUUGGGUCUCGUAUAGUCACCAACUGACGCUCACAGUCGAUGACAGCGCCGAACCGGCUCAACCAGUCCAUGCCCACGAUGACACAGACAUCCCCCAUCGCGAUAGGAAUCAGGUCAAUCGGGAAUCCAACCCCGAAAAUCUCUAGUACACAUCCCCGAAGAACCUCCGUAGCACAAAUCACCUUCUCGUCAGCUAUAGAGACUCUCAAAGGUCGACUCAACGACUCACGACUAACGCCAAUAUGCUGACUAAAGGCCAAGGACACAAAGGACCUACUCGCACCCGAGUCAAAUAACACUAAGGCAGGCACAGAGUUCACAAGGAAAGUACCUACGCGCAUAAUAACAUAAGCAUAACAUAUCGACAUUAAAAUAAUUACAUGAAUUACAACAUACCUGCCACAACAUCGGGCGCAGCGCGGACCUCUUCCGCUGUCAGCUGAAAGGCUCUUCCCCGAGCCCUCGGGGCCUCGGCCUUCACCGGUCGAGUCGCAGUAACUCCGGCAGCAGGUGCAGAUCCCUGAAGAAGCUGAGGGCACUCGGCCUUCCUAUGGCCAGUCUGGUUGCAAUGAAAGCAAACCGAAAAUCCCUUGGGGCACUCCCUAGCAAUGUGCCCCUCCUUGCCACACUUGUAGCAAGCACCAGAUCGACAUACUCCAUCAUGACUCUUGCCGCACUUCCCGCAAGUGCGACCCUUCGAACCUCCUGUCCUCGAAUCAGCGGACUUGGUCCGCUUGGCUGCCGGCUGGAACUGAGCCGGUCGCCGAUCCACCCGCUGAGACUCGGCCUCCUCCCUAGCCUGGGUCUCCAACUCGAUCUCGCGCUUCCUGGCAUUCGCCUGAAGCUCAGCAAAAGUAUGGUAAGUGGAGUUUGACACAAACUCCCGAAUAUCCCUCCUCAAGACACCCAAGUAUCGGCUCAUCCGAGCCUGCUCUGAGGACACCAGCUCAGGGCAAAACAUCGCCCUCUCAUGAAACUUCCGUGUAAUCACCGCAACAGAAUCGGUACCCUGCUUGAGGGUUAAGAACUCCUGCACCAAUCGUUCCCUCUCCACCGGGGGAACGUACUCAUCCCUGAACAUGGCAGUAAACCCCUCCCAUGUCACCGCUGUAGUCUCUGCCAAAGUGAAAUUCGCUGUCACGAACUUCCACCAGUCCUUCGCUCCCAGACGGAGCUGGUUCAAAGCGAACCGUACCCUCAGGUGCUCCGGGCAUGAACAAGUAUAGAAGCACCCCUCUAUAUCUGCGAUCCACCUCAUCGCAGCAAUCGGAUCCUGCGUCCCAUCGAACUCUGGUGGCUUCGUGUUGCUGAACUCUCGGAACAGCAAUGAAUCACCCCCCUGUGGCCUAGCAGCGGCCACAGCUGCGGUAGCUGCAGCGGUUGCAGCCUCAGUCAAUGCGGCGUACCGCUCGUCGAACGUCUCCAUCAGGGUGGUCUUGAUAGACCCAAACAUCUCCGGGAUCUCAGCCCGGAUCGCCGCCGCCACCUCCUCGUGGAUCAUCUGACGAAUAUCCUCGUCACUCACACCGCUCGUACUCGCCCCGUGCCGCGGUCUAACCAUGAUAUCUCUGAAAUACAACAUAAAACUAUCAGAGAUUCUACCGAGUAUAAUCGUACUCGACACGCAACCCUACUCAGUCCCAGAUAUCCAGGGAUUCUUACUUGGGCCUCCCACUGACCCGGUGUCCUCGGUAGUACGGGCCCAAUACUACCGACCACACCGCAUCAAUGUUCAUCCCAAGUCCUCCUCCCCAAACUCCAGAUAGUGAGUACUCUACUUCUGAUACGCUCUAUCUACCCGCAUACUAGCAAAGCAUCUCAUAUAAGCAACUUCCCUAGACUAAGGCAUCACAAAUCAGGCCACUCUAGUCCUAUCAUGAAUACCUAGUCUUCUAGCAUGCAUAACAAUUCAUAUCAUAUAAUAUUGUAAGGUAUUUUGGGGAUCUUUACCGUUCGGGCGCUGACUGAUCGUACACACUGCUUCUUUCUUGCUUACCACAAAACCAUUUACAAAAGUUUAUGCCUUUAUUUGAAAAGUUUCCUCAAAUCCUCGGUUUGAGUUCAGUUACCCCCGAAGGUGCACCCGAAUCCCUCAAACCAAGGCUCUGAUACCAAUUGUAACAACUCAAAUUUUUCAAACAAAUUUUUCAUUUUUAAAACAUAAUUAUUUCCAUUAAAAACAAGGCAUAAACAGUUUAAUUAUUCGGUCAAUACAAUUAUUCAAACUCCCAAGAUCAUAAAACAAUCUUCAGUGUGUAUCGAUCAUGCCGGCGCCUUCCCACGGUCCUCGCUAGUACCUGAAAUACAUGCACAACAACUGUAAGCAUAAAUGCUUAGUGAGUUCCCCAAUAUACACUUACGCACAUACGCCUUUCCAGGCCCUGACCUUCCGGUCCUCAUUACAACGCCUUCCGGCCCAUAACAUAAUCGCCUUCCGGCCCAUAACAUAUUGCCUUCCGGCCCACAUAUCAUACAUAGCACAUAUAACACUUAACUUACCACAUAUAGCAUACAUAUCCAUAUAACACUUAACUUACCACUUAUAGCAUACAUAUCCAUAUAACACUUAACUUACCACUUAUAGCAUAUAAACAUAAUACAUAACAUACUUGACCUUCCGGUCACACAGUCAAACCCUUCCGGGUACAGUAUAGUGAGAAGACUCACCUCGUAAGUGCUGAAAGCUAGCAACUCCUGAAAUCACUCGCGCACAAACCAACGAGCUACAACCCUCCUAUAACAUUACAUAACUCAUUAACACUCAUAUCAUCUAAGUGUGACUAUCCCUAAGAAGUCAGACUUAGGUCAACUCUGGUCAACGGUCAACGGUCAACUCGACUGGACUCGGCGAGUACCAUGGCGACUCGGCGAGUCUAGUCGUCCUCACAGAUUCCUGAAUAUUCCCUUUCUACUCGUCGAGUAUACCUCUUGACUCGACGAGGUCCUCGUGGAAGAAUCGCGGGGCCACCCCGACUCCACUCGCCGAGUCUGAUGAACAACUCGGCGAGUCCCAGCACAUCUUCAAGCUACUCGCCGAGUCUGAAGAACAACUCGGCGAGUCCAUGCCAUGCAGACGAGUAACUGCUUCCUGGGAUAGGUCUCGUCCCGAAGUACACAUGCAUGGGACCUUCUGGACCUCUAAAGGUCCUAAUACAAGACUAUAAUCGUGGGGUAACAAGGCAUUUCUUCAUCAAAUCACUAAAUGGGUUCUAUAAACCCUAAUUUCAUAAAUACAUCAAA